RNAcentral lists this non-coding RNA (171 nucleotides) under Micromonospora rifamycinica. Its description in RNAcentral is "FMN sequence". It matches the Rfam family "FMN riboswitch aptamer (RFN element)". Rfam says of the family: The RFN element is a highly conserved domain that is found frequently in the 5'-untranslated regions of prokaryotic mRNAs that encode for flavin mononucleotide (FMN) biosynthesis and transport proteins. This element is a metabolite-dependent riboswitch that directly binds FMN in the absence of proteins. In Bacillus subtilis, the riboswitch most likely controls gene expression by causing premature transcription termination within the 5' untranslated region of the ribDEAHT operon and precluding access to the ribosome-binding site of ypaA mRNA. The record is from RNAcentral. Lineage: Bacteria; Bacillati; Actinomycetota; Actinomycetes; Micromonosporales; Micromonosporaceae.
ACGCGCUGGCGGGGCUCGGUGAAAUUCCGAACCGGCGGUGAUCCACGCUCGACGUGGUAAGCCCGCGACCCGGACGGCUCUGCCGCCCGGUGGACCUGGUGAGAAUCCGGGGCCGACGGUGGGGGAGCGGUUCGUCCGCACCCCCGACAGUCCGGAUGGGAGACAGCGCGC